RNAcentral lists this long non-coding RNA (292 nucleotides) under Oryctolagus cuniculus (rabbit). RNAcentral's name for it is "lncRNA (ENSOCUG00000038897.1)". Lineage: Eukaryota; Metazoa; Chordata; Mammalia; Lagomorpha; Leporidae. The record is from RNAcentral.
GGGGAGCAAGUGCACAGUGACUCCUGUUGUUGAUUUAACAAUUGACACUCUUAUUUAUGACAUCAUUCUAAGGAAGGAGCCACUUCUGAGUUUACUAGUGUGGUGUCUGGCCAGCCUCAGAUCCUCAUGGGUGACCGUGAGACAUCACCACCUGGAGACAGGUGAUGCUCCAGGUCAUCCCGGCACCUUCCCAGCUACUGUCAUCACUUGGCCAUCCACGGGGAUCUGCCUGGCCUGGGGCUGCGAAUCUCCAGAAUUGAAUUAUUGCGCUAAGAGGUUUACUGCAGUGUAG